AGCGAACGCUGGCGGCAGGCCUAACACAUGCAAGUCGAACGAACCUUUCGGGGUUAGUGGCGGACGGGUGAGUAACACGUGGUAACUUGCCUUUAGGUUCGGAAUAACUCAGGGAAACUUGUGCUAAUACCGAAUGUGCCCUUCGGGGGAAAGAUUUAUCGCCUUUAGAGCGGCCCGCGGCUGAUUAGCUAGUUGGUUGAGGUAAUGGCUCACCAAGGCGACGAUCAGUAGCUGGUCUGAGAGGAUGAUCAGCCACAUUGGGACUGAGACACGGCCCAAACUCCUACGGGAGGCAGCAGUGGGGAAUAUUGCGCAAUGGGCGAAAGCCUGACGCAGCCAUGCCGCGUGAAUGAUGAAGGUCUUAGGAUUGUAAAAUUCUUUCACCGGGGACGAUAAUGACGGUACCCGGAGAAGAAGCCCCGGCUAACUUCGUG
This 434-nucleotide ribosomal RNA is filed under the name uncultured bacterium. RNAcentral describes it as "partial 16S ribosomal RNA". It matches the Rfam family "Bacterial small subunit ribosomal RNA", at positions 29 to 507 of the family's 1533-position model. The record is from RNAcentral.